AGAGUUUGAUCAUGGCUCAGAAUGAACGCUGGCGGCGUGCUUAACACAUGCAAGUCGUACGAGAACUCUUCUGCUUGCAGAAGAUAGUAAAGUGGCGCACGGGUGAGUAACGCGUGGGUAAUCUACCUCUGAAUCGGGGAUAACCCGCCGAAAGGCGAGCUAAUACCGGAUGAUAUCUUUUAAACCUAGGUUUUUAAGAUCAAAAGGUGGUCUCUACAUGUAAGCUACUGUUUGGAGAUGAGCCCGCGUACCAUUAGCUUGUUGGUAGGGUAAUGGCCUACCAAGGCCGCGAUGGUUAGCUGGUCUGAGAGGAUGAUCAGCCACACUGGAACUGACACACGGUCCAGACUCCUACGGGAGGCAGCAGUGAGGAAUUUUGCGCAAUGGGGGAAACCCUGACGCAGCAACGCCGCGUGAGUGAUGAAGGCUUUCGGGUCGUAAAGCUCUGUCAAGUGGGAAGAACCUGCUCGAUGCUAAUAACAUUUAGCACUGACGGUACCACUAAAGGAAGCACCGGCUAACUCCGUGCCAGCAGCCGCGGUAAUACGGGGGGGUGCAAGCGUUAUUCGGAAUUAUUGGGCGUAAAGGGCGCGUAGGCGGUCUCUAAAGUCAGAUGUGAAAGCCCGGGGCUUAACCCCGGAAGUGCAUUUGAAACUCAGGGACUUGAGUAUGGGAGAGGGAAGUGGAAUUCCUGGUGUAGCGGUGAAAUGCGUAGAUAUCAGGAGGAACACCAGUGGCGAAGGCGACUUCCUGGACCAAUACUGACGCUGAGGCGCGAAGGCGUGGGGAGCAAACAGGAUUAGAUACCCUAGUAGUCC
Molecule: ribosomal RNA, 818 nt
Filed under: uncultured bacterium
Lineage: Bacteria
Description: bacterial SSU rRNA
Rfam family: Bacterial small subunit ribosomal RNA
Source: RNAcentral